RNAcentral lists this ribosomal RNA (495 nucleotides) under uncultured bacterium. Its description in RNAcentral is "partial 16S ribosomal RNA". It matches the Rfam family "Bacterial small subunit ribosomal RNA", at positions 28 to 507 of the family's 1533-position model. The record is from RNAcentral.
GAUGAACGCUGGCGGCGUGCCUAAUACAUGCAAGUAGAACGCUGAAGGAGGAGCUUGCUCUUCUGGAUGAGUUGCGAACGGGUGAGUAACGCGUAGGUAACCUGCCUGGUAGCGGGGGAUAACUAUUGGAAACGAUAGCUAAUACCGCAUGACAACAGUUAUUGCAUGAUAACUGUUUAAAAGGGGCAACUGCUCCACUACCAGAUGGACCUGCGUUGUAUUAGCUAGUUGGUGAGGUAACGGCUCACCAAGGCGACGAUACAUAGCCGACCUGAGAGGGUGAUCGGCCACACUGGGACUGAGACACGGCCCAGACUCCUACGGGAGGCAGCAGUAGGGAAUCUUCGGCAAUGGACGGAAGUCUGACCGAGCAACGCCGCGUGAGUGAAGAAGGUUGUCGGAUCGUAAAGCUCUGUUGUAAGAGAAGAACGAGUGUGAGAGUGGAAAGUUCACACUGUGACGGUAUCUGACCAGAAAGGGACGGCUAACUACGUG